GCCAAAUAGCUAGCCUUAACACCAAAGCUAAUCAAACAAUAUACAUAACAAAGAAUGACCCAACAAAGCAAAUUAAACCAUUUUCCCUAUCUUAGUAUGGGAGACAAAAAAGAUUCAAAAAGAGCAAUAGAAAAAGUACCGCAAGGGAAAGCUGAAAGAGAAGUGAAAUAACCCGUAUAAGCACAACAAACCAAGGAUUAAAUCCGUACUU
Molecule: ribosomal RNA, 211 nt
Filed under: Salmostoma bacalia (large razorbelly minnow)
Lineage: Eukaryota; Metazoa; Chordata; Actinopteri; Cypriniformes; Danionidae
Description: partial 16S ribosomal RNA
Source: RNAcentral